CCGGGGCCGCACGCGCGCCACAUUGAAGGAAUCAGCGUGUGCUUUCCCGGUCCGACAGGAUUGGGUAACCCGUUGAACCUCCUUCGUGCUGGGGAUAGAACCUUGUAAUUAGUUCUUGAACGAGGAAUUCCCAGUAAGCACGAGUCAUCAGCUCGUGUUGAUUACGUCCCUGCCCUUUGCACACACCGCCCGUCGCUACUACCGAUUGAAUGAUUAAGUGAGGUCUUCGGACUGGCUAUUUGAUUGGCCUUCGGGUCGAUUGAAUUUUGCCGGAAAGAUGACCAAACUUGAUCAUUUAGAGAUAGUAAAAGUCGUAACAAGGUUACC
This 327-nucleotide ribosomal RNA is filed under the name Mysmena sp. MYSM-005-ARG. Its description in RNAcentral is "bacterial SSU rRNA". It matches the Rfam family "Eukaryotic small subunit ribosomal RNA", at positions 1481 to 1804 of the family's 1831-position model. Lineage: Eukaryota; Metazoa; Arthropoda; Arachnida; Araneae; Mysmenidae. The record is from RNAcentral.